This 460-nucleotide ribosomal RNA is filed under the name uncultured bacterium. RNAcentral's name for it is "partial 16S ribosomal RNA". It matches the Rfam family "Bacterial small subunit ribosomal RNA", at positions 338 to 795 of the family's 1533-position model. The record is from RNAcentral.
CCUACGGGUGGCAGCAGUGAGGAAUAUUGGUCAAUGGACGAGAGUCUGAACCAGCCAAGUAGCGUGAAGGAUGACUGCCCUAUGGGUUGUAAACUUCUUUUAUAUGGGAAUAAAACGUUCCACGUGUGGGAUUUUGUAUGUACCAUAUGAAUAAGGAUCGGCUAACUCCGUGCCAGCAGCCGCGGUAAUACGGAGGAUCCGAGCGUUAUCCGGAUUUAUUGGGUUUAAAGGGAGCGUAGGUGGAUUGUUAAGUCAGUUGUGAAAGUUUGCGGCUCAACCGUAAAAUUGCAGGUGAACCUGGCAGUCUUGAGUACAGUAGAGGUGGGCGGAAUUCGUGGUGUAGCGGUGAAAUGCUUAGAUAUCACGAAGAACUCCGAUUGCGAAGGCAGUUCACUGGACUGCAACUGACACUGAGGCUCGAAAGUGUGGGUAUCAAACAGGAUUAGAUACCCCAGUAGUC